AUCAUAUUGGCCAGGAGGGGGUUGCAUAGCCAUUGUCUCCAACUGCCAACAUCAGUGAGAUUCCUCCAAUUGUCUCCUAAUAAUCUUUUGGAAUGGAGAGGGUGUUGAGAAGUCUAUGACACUGACCACUGCAGCUCCCUGCUUUUAUCAGUAACAAAAUGUAUUAUUUUCUCCUGUGUCUUAAUUCUAAGAAAUAUAAUUAUAUUUAUGCCAGCUAUGAAUAUUGUCUCAUUUAAGUACAUUUAUAAAGCUGGUAUCUAAAGUUUGGAAGCUUUAAUAUCCUUAAAUUUUAUAU
This 295-nucleotide long non-coding RNA is filed under the name Bos taurus (domestic cattle). RNAcentral's name for it is "long non-coding RNA NONBTAT022672". The record is from RNAcentral. Lineage: Eukaryota; Metazoa; Chordata; Mammalia; Artiodactyla; Bovidae.